AAGUGAUCUACGCGACCAGC
This 20-nucleotide unclassified non-coding RNA is filed under the name Mus musculus (house mouse). Its description in RNAcentral is "oocyte_clustered_small_RNA5488". Lineage: Eukaryota; Metazoa; Chordata; Mammalia; Rodentia; Muridae. The record is from RNAcentral.